GGUGAUUUUAAGACGGGCAGAUAAGGAAUGCCACUAUCCUUUCACUCAUUCCAUUGAUCCUGUUCUUAAAAUCUUAAAACAGCCAUACUGACUAAAAUCCCUGGGCCUCUCUUAGGCCUCCAGUUGCUCUCUUGAGCUGGGGGAUUGGCAGUUUCGACUUCAGCGUCAUUUUCUGAGUUCUCUGUAUAGGCCCUCGUGAGUUCUAAAAUUCCCUCCUCCACCACAAAGGUGGCUGACAGUUGCUGGGGGUUGUAGGGGGUCAAAGAUGUAGUGCUUACAAACAUGCAAACCCUGGCCUGGGCUCCCCACCCUGGCUGCUCCUUGCUGACGUCGGGGAGAAGGAUGGCCCAUCCGACUGAGGACAGAGCUCUCUGCAGUACUAGAGAUGUUGGUUCUGCAGCUCUUGCAGCAGUGUGAGCAAGCCGGAAUAAAUUUUAGAAAACUUAAUGGAAACGGAGAAAACACCCACAUUAAGAAAACAAAUCCGAGUGCCUUGGCGUGCCUUCGGACGCAGACUGCGCUGUGAUAGUCAUCUUUAUUAACUUUCCAUCCUGGACUGAUCUCCAGUGACGGCACAAUGAUCAUAGCCAGGCAAUCGAUACCUCAUUAAUGAUUAUUUCCGUUUCUUUUCUUCUUGGCUCUGUCAACCAAACAGUCUCAAAAGCAAUGGGAGGUCCCCUCGCCCAGCUUUCCCAUGCCGUGAAGGAGAAAUGAAGCCCCCAGAAGGACUCGAGCUCCGUGGAAGCGCAGUUCCAUGCAUAACUCCCCUGGAGUGCCUUAGCCAGAAAAUGUCCAUAGCUGGAUCUGGCUGAGCUGGAGAAGGAGAGACGCCCCAUGGACAGAAAGCCAUGCCUUCUAGAUGCAGAGUGGCAUCCUGGGGAGCAGAAAUGUUCCAUCUGGAGACAGCUCAGAAGACUUUCAGCUUCUCCAGAGCAGAGGAUCCUCCCUUGUCCUUCACCGUGUCCCAGCAACUAGCAGAGGCUGGUCCAGAGCAGGUGCUCAGAGUGUGUUUGCCAAAUGACUGACCACUAACCUGGCGAAUGAGCAUGCCAAUGGAAGAAUCAAUGAAUGAAUGACUGUGUUAAAGACAGUUUCAGUGACUCAGUAAAACAUUUUUGACGUAAUAGUCCACAAAAGGUUUCAGACUCCAAAUUGUACAUAUAGAAUGG
Molecule: long non-coding RNA, 1169 nt
Filed under: Papio anubis (olive baboon)
Lineage: Eukaryota; Metazoa; Chordata; Mammalia; Primates; Cercopithecidae
Description: lncRNA (ENSPANG00000047419.1)
Source: RNAcentral